AGAGUUUGAUCCUGGCUCAGGAUGAACGCUGGCGGCAUGCCUAACACAUGCAAGUCGAACGGACAAGAGAGCUUCGGUUUUCUUGUUAGUGGCGGACGGGUGAGUAACGCGUGAGGAACCUGCCUUUCAGAGGGGGAUAACGUUUGGAAACGAACGCUAAUACCGCAUAAUGUUACGGGACUGCAUGGUCUUGUAACCAAAGGAGCAAUCCGCUGAUAGAUGGCCUCGCGUCUGAUUAGAUAGUUGGUGAGGUAACGGCCCACCAAGUCGACGAUCAGUAGCCGGACUGAGAGGUUGAACGGCCACAUUGGGACUGAGACACGGCCCAGACUCCUACGGGAGGCAGCAGUGAGGGAUAUUGCACAAUGGGGGAAACCCUGAUGCAGCAAUGCCGCGUGAAGGAUGACGGUUUUCGGAUUGUAAACUUCUGUUCCAGAUCAUGAAAAAAAUGACUAAUCUGGCAGCAAGCCACGGCUAACUACGUGCCAGCAGCCGCGGUAAUACGUAGGUGGCGAGCGUUAUCCGGAUUUACUGGGUGUAAAGGGUGCGUAGGCGGGAUAGCAAGUUGGAUGUGAAAUACCGAGGCUCAACUUCGGAGCUGCAUCCAAAACUGUUAUUCUUGAGUGGAGUAGAGGUAAGCGGAAUUCCGAGUGUAGCGGUGAAAUGCGUAGAUAUUCGGAGGAACACCGGUGGCGAAGGCGGCUUACUGGGCUCUAACUGACGCUGAGGCACGAAAGUAUGGGUAGCAAACAGGAUUAGAUACCCUGGUAGUCCAUACUGUAAACGAUGAAUGCUAGCCGUGCGGCCCGAAUGUGGGCUGCGUGGCCGAGCGAAAGCGUUAAGCAUUCCACCUGGGGAGUACGCCGGCAACGGUGAAACUCAAAGGAAUUGACGGGGGCCCGCACAAGCGGAGGAACAUGUGGUUUAAUUCGAUGAUACGCGAGGAACCUUACCCGGGCUCAAACGCGGCGGCGAGAUUUUUGAAAGGAGGUCGUAGGCCAGCAAUGGCCAACCGUCGCGAGGUGCUGCAUGGUUGUCGUCAGCUCGUGCCGUGAGGUGUCGGCUUAAGUGCCAUAACGAGCGCAACCCCCAUUGCCAGUUGCCAGCAGGCAAAGCUGGGCACUCUGGCGAGACUGCCAGCGCAAGCUGUGAGGAAGGCGGGGAUGACGUCAAAUCAGCACGGCCCUUACGUCCGGGGCGACACACGUGUUACAAUGGCAGGCACAGCGGGAAGCCACCCGGCGACGGGGAGCGGAUCCCGAAAGCCUGUCUCAGUUCGGAUCGGAGUCUGCAACUCGACUCCGUGAAGCUGGAUUCGCUAGUAAUCGCGCAUCAGCCAUGGCGCGGUGAAUACGUUCCCGGGCCUUGCACACACCGCCCGUCA
RNAcentral lists this ribosomal RNA (1384 nucleotides) under uncultured bacterium. RNAcentral describes it as "partial 16S ribosomal RNA". It matches the Rfam family "Bacterial small subunit ribosomal RNA". The record is from RNAcentral.